Long non-coding RNA from Gallus gallus (chicken), 1272 nucleotides. RefSeq lists it as uncharacterized. The record is from RefSeq and is a predicted model, not a curated record. NCBI's taxonomy places the organism in Eukaryota, Metazoa, Chordata, Aves, Galliformes, Phasianidae. The transcript is spliced from 3 exons.
CACAGUGUUUGUAUUUGAGCUCUAAGGAACAUGGAAAGAGGAGCCCCAAGGAGACAGGUGUGAAGGACAGGUUUAAUCCCAGCCAGAACCUUGACUGAGGAGGACCCAAGUGUGAUCGCCCAGCAAACAGCACAAUGGAAGCAUGCUGCUGCCACCCUGUGGAAAAUGGUGGCCCCCAACUGCUGGGGGCCAUUCCAGAGGUUCACAAAGCUGCAGCUGGUAUGGUGGUUACAGAGACAGAUGAGGCAGUCAUCGCCCUGAUGAGGCAAAUGGUGAACAAACUGGGGAGUUUCCUUAAAGCAAUUGCAGGAUUUGCAAGGAAGGUAUCUGGAUGCUGUGCAGCAGACUGAACCAUGAAGACAGUUGGAGCGUGCAGCAGCACAGAACAGCAAUCCAUCACCACCAUGUGGGACUCACACAGGAAUCUAUCAAGGGCUUCAUCAUGGUGACAUCUUUGCAGAGGCAGAAAGAGAAACAAAGGAAAAAGGAGAUGGAGAGAGUGAGCCAAGAAUGGAAAAUCCACACUGGAUUUCUCAAAACGUGAGAGUCAAUGAAGUAAAACAAGAUUACAGACACCAAAACAUUUUUUGGUGUUUUUAGUGUCUCAGGUAGACCUGCUUUAAAGCCACAAAUUACAAUGCCUCACACAACUGUGUUGAAUGCUCUGGUACCCUGAGACCAGCAAGGAUAAACGCAUGUAUGAAAUCACAAUAAUGUAACACAUACCUAUAUAAGGCCCUGUAUACAGCUUGACACAUGCAAAGGACAGGGGAGCACGCAGAAUGAAGAGUCCAUACACAUGGUAAGAAUGCAGAAAGUAAACUCAACAACGCACAGAGAUGCACACUCCCCAGUGCAGUGACAUGAUCAGUACAAGAGUGUGCAUUAUCUUACUUUGAUGUACAACUCCACUAUAAGAGGUAUGUCAAGUUACCCAGAAAGGAGCUUCUCUCCAUCUCCAAAAUCCAUAAGAAAACAAGUAAACAUGAUUUCUCCUAAAUCUGUUAGACACCAGAGAGAGAGGUAAAGAAAAUAUCUGCUCUUGGAGAAAACCAAAGCAAUUUACCUUUGAAUAGGAAGCAGCUGAACAAAGCACAUUAUUUCUUUUCACUCCAGAGACAAACAUUGAUGUUGUUUUGAGUCAUGCUGAUAUAGGUUAAGUAAGUGCUCCCAAAGCUGACAAAAGAUAGAAGAUGUGUUAGGACCUCUCAGAACACUAAAUCACAUGAAAACCUGGCAAAAAAGUAAAAUAAAAUAAAAUGAACAAAAGGA